ACUAUCGUUAACUGAAUACAUAGGUUAACGAGGCGAACCGGGGGAACUGAAACAUCUAAGUACCCCGAGGAAAAGAAAUCAACCGAGAUUCCCCCAGUAGCGGCGAGCGAACGGGGAGCAGCCCAGAGUCUGAAUCAGCUUGUGUGUUAGUGGAACGGUCUGGAAAGUCCGACGGUACAGGGUGAUAGUCCCGUACACCAAAAUGCACAGGCUGUGAACUCGAAGAGUAGGGCGGGACACGUGGUAUCCUGUCUGAAUAUGGGGGGACCAUCCUCCAAGGCUAAAUACUCCUGACUGACCGAUAGUGAACCAGUACCGUGAGGGAAAGGCGAAAAGAACCCCGGCGAGGGGAGUGAAAAAGAACCUGAAACCGUGUACGUACAAGCAGUGGGAGCACCUUCGGGUGUGACUGCGUACCUUUUGUAUAAUGGGUCAGCGACUUAUAUUCUGUAGCAAGGUUAACCGUAUAGGGGAGCCGCAGGGAAACCGAGUCUUAACUGGGCGUUAAGUUGCAGGGUAUAGACCCGAAACCCGGUGAUCUAGCCAUGGGCAGGUUGAAGGUUGGGUAACACUAACUGGAGGACCGAACCGACUAAUGUUGAAAAAUUAGCGGAUGACUUGUGGCUGGGGGUGAAAGGCCAAUCAAACCGGGAGAUAGCUGGUUCUCCCCGAAAGCUAUUUAGGUAGCGCCUCGUGAACUCAUCUUCGGGGGUAGAGCACUGUUUCGGCUAGGGGGUCAUCCCGACUUACCAACCCGAUGCAAACUACGAAUACCGAAGAAUGUUAUCACGGGAGACACACGGCGGGUGCUAACGUCCGUCGUGAAGAGGGAAACAACCCAGACCGCCAGCUAAGGUCCCAAAGUCAUGGUUAAGUGGGAAACGAUGUGGGAAGGCACAGACAGCCAGGAUGUUGGCUUAGAAGCAGCCAUCAUUUAAAGAAAGCGUAAUAGCUCACUGGUCGAGUCGGCCUGCGCGGAAGAUGUAACGGGGCUAAACCAUGCACCGAAGCUGCGGCAGCGACACUAUGUGUUGUUGGGUAGGGGAGCGUUCUGUAAGCCUGCGAAGGUGACCUGUGAGGGUUGCUGGAGGUAUCAGAAGUGCGAAUGCUGACAUAAGUAACGAUAAAGCGGGUGAAAAGCCCGCUCGCCGGAAGACCAAGGGUUCCUGUCCAACGUUAAUCGGGGCAGGGUGAGUCGACCCCUAAGGCGAGGCCGAAAGGCGUAGUCGAUGGGAAACAGGUUAAUAUUCCUGUACUUGGUGUUACUGCGAAGGGGGGACGGAGAAGGCUAUGUUAGCCGGGCGACGGUUGUCCCGGUUUAAGCAUGUAGGCUGGUUAUCCAGGCAAAUCCGGAUAAUCAAGGCUGAGGUGUGAUGACGAGGCACUACGGUGCUGAAGUAACAAAUGCCCUGCUUCCAGGAAAAGCCUCUAAGCAUCAGGUAACAUCAAAUCGUACCCCAAACCGACACAGGUGGUCAGGUAGAGAAUACCAAGGCGCUUGAGAGAACUCGGGUGAAGGAACUAGGCAAAAUGGUGCCGUAACUUCGGGAGAAGGCACGCUGGUGUGUAGGUGAAGUCCCUGCGGAUGGAGCUGAGACCAGUCGAAGAUACCAGCUGGCUGCAACUGUUUAUUAAAAACACAGCACUGUGCAAACACGAAAGUGGACGUAUACGGUGUGACGCCUGCCCGGUGCCGGAAGGUUAAUUGAUGGGGUUAUCCGUAAGGAGAAGCUCUUGAUCGAAGCCCCGGUAAACGGCGGCCGUAACUAUAACGGUCCUAAGGUAGCGAAAUUCCUUGUCGGGUAAGUUCCGACCUGCACGAAUGGCGUAAUGAUGGCCAGGCUGUCUCCACCCGAGACUCAGUGAAAUUGAACUCGCUGUGAAGAUGCAGUGUACCCGCGGCAAGACGGAAAGACCCCGUGAACCUUUACUAUAGCUUGACACUGAACAUUGAGCCUUGAUGUGUAGGAUAGGUGGGAGGCUUUGAAGCGUGGACGCCAGUCUGCGUGGAGCCAACCUUGAAAUACCACCCUUUAAUGUUUGAUGUUCUAACGUUGGCCCCUUACCGGGGUUGCGGACAGUGUCUGGUGGGUAGUUUGACUGGGGCGGUCUCCUCCCAAAGCGUAACGGAGGAGCACGAAGGUUAGCUAAUCCUGGUCGGACAUCAGGAGGUUAGUGCAAUGGCAUAAGCUAGCUUGACUGCGAGCGUGACGGCGCGAGCAGGUGCGAAAGCAGGUCAUAGUGAUCCGGUGGUUCUGAAUGGAAGGGCCAUCGCUCAACGGAUAAAAGGUACUCCGGGGAUAACAGGCUGAUACCGCCCAAGAGUUCAUAUCGACGGCGGUGUUUGGCACCUCGAUGUCGGCUCAUCACAUCCUGGGGCUGAAGUAGGUCCCAAGGGUAUGGCUGUUCGCCAUUUAAAGUGGUACGCGAGCUGGGUUUAGAACGUCGUGAGACAGUUCGGUCCCUAUCUGCCGUGGGCGCUGGAGAAUUGAGGGGGGCUGCUCCUAGUACGAGAGGACCGGAGUGGACGCAUCACUGGUGUUCGGGUUGUCAUGCCAAUGGCACUGCCCGGUAGCUAAAUGCGGAAGAGAUAAGUGCUGAAAGCAUCUAAGCACGAAACUUGCCCCGAGAUGAGUUCU
This 2639-nucleotide ribosomal RNA is filed under the name Klebsiella pneumoniae. RNAcentral describes it as "bacterial LSU rRNA". It matches the Rfam family "Bacterial large subunit ribosomal RNA". Lineage: Bacteria; Pseudomonadati; Pseudomonadota; Gammaproteobacteria; Enterobacterales; Enterobacteriaceae. The record is from RNAcentral.